This 71-nucleotide transfer RNA is filed under the name Eubacterium infirmum F0142. It matches the Rfam family "tRNA". Rfam says of the family: Transfer RNA (tRNA) molecules are approximately 80 nucleotides in length. Their secondary structure includes four short double-helical elements and three loops (D, anti-codon, and T loops). The record is from Rfam by way of RNAcentral. Lineage: Bacteria; Bacillati; Bacillota; Clostridia; Peptostreptococcales; Anaerovoracaceae.
GCGGGCGUAGUUUAGUGGCAAAACGCGAGCUUCCCAAGCUUGAAUUGAGGGUUCGAUUCCCUUCGCCCGCU